CUGGGGUACGGUGACAUGUACCCCAAAACGUGGUCAGGGAUGGUGGUGGGCGCCCUGUGCGCGCUGGCCGGGGUGCUGACCAUCGCCAUGCCCGUGCCCGUCAUCGUCAACAAC
This is a regulatory RNA element of Ficedula albicollis (Collared flycatcher), 114 nucleotides long. It matches the Rfam family "Potassium channel RNA editing signal". From Rfam's summary of the family: This family represents a group of sequences related to the human potassium channel Kv1.1 hairpin element which directs the efficient modification of an adenosine to inosine by an adenosine deaminase acting on RNA (ADAR). The record is from Rfam. NCBI's taxonomy places the organism in Eukaryota, Metazoa, Chordata, Aves, Passeriformes, Muscicapidae.